GGACCUUUUGAACCUCCAGGACCUUGUAUAGCGGCACUAUGAACCUUCCAGGACCUUUAUGAACCUUCCAGGACCUUUAUAGGGCCACUAUGAACCUUCCAGGACCUUUAUGAACCUUCCAGGACCUUUAUAGGGCGACUAUGAACCUUCCAGGACCUUUAUAGGGUCACUAUGAACCUUCCAGGACCUUUAUGAACCUUCCAGAACCCUUAUAGGGCCACUAUGAAGCUUCCGGGACCUUUAUAGGGUCACUAUGAACCUUCCAGGACCUUUAUGAACCUUCCAGGACCUUUAUAGGGCAACUAUCAACCUUCCAGGACCCUCCCAACCCACUCUAUAUCCCAUCCAACUCACUCUAUUCCCUUCCAGGACCCUCCCAACGUCCGUUUUCCCCUUCCAGGACCCUUCCAACCCACUCUAUGUCCCUCUCAACCCACACUAUUCCCUUCCAGGACCCUUCCAAUCCAUCUUAUGCCCUUCCAGGACCCUCCCAUCCCACUCUAUUCCCUUCCAGGACCCUCCCAACCCACUCUACACCCUCCCAACCCAUUCUAUGUCCCUUCCAGGACCCAUCCUAUACCCUCCCAACUCCCAUCCUAUCCCCUUCCAAGACCCUUCCAACCCACUCUACACCCUCCCAACCCACUCUAAGCCCUUUCAACCCACUCUAUUCCCUUCCAGGACCCUCCCAACCCAUCCUAUACCCUUCCAGGACCCCUCCAUCCCACUCUAUUCCCUUCCAGGACCCUCCCAACCCACUCUAUAUCCCAUCCAACCCACUCUAUUCCCUUCCAGGACCCUCCCAACCCCCUCUAUCCCCUUCCAGGACCCAUCCUUUCCCCUUCCAUGUCCCUCUAUGUCCCUUCCAGGACCCAUCCUUUCCCCUUCCAGGACCUUAUGCACAUUAAUGGCAGGCAAUGCGCUCUGUAGGGCUGUAGCCGUUGCCUUGAUGUGGAUGUGGGGCAGCCCAACCCAUCCCAUACCCCCUCUAUGUCCCUUCCAGGACCCAUCCUUUCCCCUUCCAGGACCUUAUGCACAUUGAUGGCAGGCAAUGCG
This 1056-nucleotide long non-coding RNA is filed under the name Coturnix japonica (Japanese quail). RNAcentral describes it as "lncRNA (ENSCJPG00005002067.1)". Lineage: Eukaryota; Metazoa; Chordata; Aves; Galliformes; Phasianidae. The record is from RNAcentral.